This 504-nucleotide ribosomal RNA is filed under the name uncultured bacterium. RNAcentral's name for it is "partial 16S ribosomal RNA". It matches the Rfam family "Bacterial small subunit ribosomal RNA", at positions 29 to 523 of the family's 1533-position model. The record is from RNAcentral.
AUUGAACGCUGGCGGCAGGCCUAACACAUGCAAGUCGAGCGGUAACACAGGGAGCUUGCUCCUGGGUGACGAGCGGCGGACGGGUGAGUAAUGUCUGGGAAACUGCCUGAUGGAGGGGGAUAACUACUGGAAACGGUAGCUAAUACCGCAUAACGUCGCAAGACCAAAGAGGGGGACCUUCGGGCCUCUUGCCAUCAGAUAUGCCCAGAUGGGAUUAGCUAGUAGGUGGGGUAACGGCUCACCUAGGCGACGAUCCCGAGCUGGUCUGAGAGGCUGACACGCCACACUGGAACUGAGACACGGUGCAGACGCCGACGGGAGGCCGCAGUGGAGAAUAUUGCAGAAUGGGCGCAAGCCUGAUGCAGCCAUGCCGCGUGUAUGAAGAAGGCCUUCGGGUUGUAAAGUACUUUCAGCGGUGAGGAAGGUGUUGAGGUUAAUAACCUCAGCAAUUGACGUUACCCGCAGAAGAAGCACCGGCUAACUCCGUGCCAGCCGCCGCGGUAA